Molecule: ribosomal RNA, 253 nt
Filed under: uncultured bacterium
Lineage: Bacteria
Description: partial 16S ribosomal RNA
Rfam family: Bacterial small subunit ribosomal RNA
Source: RNAcentral
UACGUAGGGUGCAAGCGUUGUCCGGAAUUAUUGGGCGUAAAGAGCUCGUAGGCGGUUUGUUGCGUCGGCUGUGAAAUCCCGAGGCUCAACCUCGGGUCUGCAGUCGAUACGAGCAAACUAGAGUGUUGCAGGGGAGACUGGAAUUCCUGGUGUAGCGGUGAAAUGCGCAGAUAUCAGGAGGAACACCGGUGGCGAAGGAGGGUCUCUGGGCAACAACUGACGCUGAGGAGCGAAAGCGUGGGGAGCGAACAGG